AAAUUUUUACAAAAACUAAGUAAAUAAUCCAUUAUAGACAAAGACAAACUGAGAAGGAUCAUAAAAAGAGAAAGUUUAAAAGUUAAAAAAAAAAGGAAAAUGAAUUGAUGAUAGGAAUGGGUCGUCAACGGGAGAUGGAGAUCUGUGCAGUGGGAUUGUCAGCGGCUAUCGGCAUCGAGAUCGUUAGCGGUUAAAGCAGAUGAUGAUGGGAAUUGGACCAUAUGGAGAUGAAGGAGCAGUGGGAUCAUUGGCGGCUAUCAGCAUUGGGAUCGUUAGCGCGAAUAUUGGCAACGGAUCGUCAGCAGCUGCUGUUGUGGCCUAACUUCAUUUGUUCGAUCUUCAAUCUACCGGUGGUGGUAGAUGAUGACUGGGCUUAGACGGCAGUGGCUUGGUGAUGGUGAUGGAGGGUUCGGUUCAAAAAAGUGCCUGAAACAAAACUAGACAACCAGAAACAUAAAAAAACCAAAAAAACUAGAAAUAAAUCCAGAAAAAACAAAUCAUAACCAGAAAUAAAGGUGCCAGAAAACUUCAAUACUACCUUGAUUUUGGUUGUAAUCCAAAUAACAAUAACAUUUGAAUUAACAUAGCUUGGGAUCAACAGAAACUGAAAAAAGAAAUUUCUGUGAGAAUUGAGAAGACUGAAGAGUGGAGCAGGCUCAGA
Molecule: long non-coding RNA, 661 nt
Filed under: Citrus maxima (pomelo)
Lineage: Eukaryota; Viridiplantae; Streptophyta; Magnoliopsida; Sapindales; Rutaceae
Description: long non-coding RNA (CMAX_LNC002671)
Source: RNAcentral